GGUAAUUCUAGAGCUAAUACAUGCUAAAACCCCUGCCGCUUGCGCGUGGGGAGCAUUUAUUAGAUACCAGAAUCAGCGGCCUUCGGGUCUUACUGAGGACUCAUAAUAACUCAAGCAGAUCGGGCUCAGCCCGGCGUAUCAUUCAAGUUUCUGACCUAUCAGUUAGUCGGUAGUGUAUUGGACUACCGAGGCGUUGACGGGUAACGGAGAAUUAGGGUUCGAUUCCGGAGAGGGAGCCUGAGAAACGGCUACCACAUCUAAGGAAGGCAGCAGGCGCGUAAAUUACCCAAUCCUGACUCAGGGAGGUAGUGACAAGAAAUCACAAUAUUUGGCUCUUAUGGGUUAAGUAAUUGUAUUGAGAACAGGCUAAACAUGUUAACGAUAAACCAUU
This 391-nucleotide ribosomal RNA is filed under the name uncultured eukaryote. RNAcentral describes it as "bacterial SSU rRNA". It matches the Rfam family "Eukaryotic small subunit ribosomal RNA", at positions 151 to 549 of the family's 1831-position model. The record is from RNAcentral.